This 444-nucleotide ribosomal RNA is filed under the name uncultured bacterium. RNAcentral's name for it is "partial 16S ribosomal RNA". It matches the Rfam family "Bacterial small subunit ribosomal RNA", at positions 338 to 795 of the family's 1533-position model. The record is from RNAcentral.
CCUACGGGAGGCAGCAGUGAGGAAUAUUGGUCAAUGGCCGGAAGGCUGAACCAGCCAAGCCGCGUGAAGGACGAAGGUGCCAAGCAUUGUAAACUUCUAUCAACAGGGACGAAAGAAAUGACGGUACCUGAAUAAGAAGCCCCGGCUAACUACGUGCCAGCAGCCGCGGGAAUACGUAGGGGGCAAGCGUUAUCCGGAAUUACUGGGUGUAAAGGGUGAGUAGGCGGGAUGGUAAGCCAGAUGUGAAAGCCUUGGGCUUAACCCGAGGAUUGCAUUUGGAACUAUCAAGCUAGAGUACAGGAGAGGAAAGCGGAAUUCCUAGUGUAGCGGUGAAAUGCGUAGAGAUUAGGAAGAACACCAGUGGCGAAGGCGGCUUUCUGGACUGAAACUGACGCUGAGGCACGAAAGCGUGGGGAGCGAACAGGAUUAGAUACCCUGGUAGUC